This 67-nucleotide transfer RNA is filed under the name Staphylococcus aureus. RNAcentral's name for it is "tRNA-Pro". It matches the Rfam family "tRNA". From Rfam's summary of the family: Transfer RNA (tRNA) molecules are approximately 80 nucleotides in length. Their secondary structure includes four short double-helical elements and three loops (D, anti-codon, and T loops). The record is from RNAcentral. Lineage: Bacteria; Bacillati; Bacillota; Bacilli; Caryophanales; Staphylococcaceae.
CGGGAAGUAGCUCAGCUUGGUAGAGCACUUGGUUUGGGACCAAGGGGUCGCAGGNCUGUCUUCCCGA